This 523-nucleotide ribosomal RNA is filed under the name uncultured bacterium. RNAcentral describes it as "bacterial SSU rRNA". It matches the Rfam family "Bacterial small subunit ribosomal RNA", at positions 108 to 633 of the family's 1533-position model. The record is from RNAcentral.
GAGUAAUAUAUCGGAACGUGCCCUAGAGUGGGGGAUAACGCAGCGAAAGUUGCGCUAAUACCGCAUACGAUCUAAGGAUGAAAGCAGGGGACCGCAAGGCCUUGUGCUCCUGGAGCGGCCGAUAUCUGAUUAGCUAGUUGGUGGGGUAAAGGCCCACCAAGGCAUCGAUCAGUAGCUGGUCUGAGAGGACGACCAGCCACACUGGAACUGAGACACGGUCCAGACUCCUACGGGAGGCAGCAGUGGGGAAUUUUGGACAAUGGGCGCAAGCCUGAUGCAGCAACGCCGCGUGAGGGACGAAGGCCUUCGGGUUGUAAACCUCUUUUAGUAGGGAAGAAGCGACUGGGUUUUCCUGGGAGUGACGGUACCUGCAGAAAAAGCACCGGCUAACUACGCGCCGGCAGCCGCGGUAAUACGUAGGGUGCAAGCGUUGUCCGGAAUUAUUGGGCGUAAAGAGCUCGUAGGCGGUUUGUCGCGUCUGCUGUGAAAACCCGAGGCUCAACCUCGGGCCUGCAGUGGGUAC